CGGCGGACGGGUGAGUAACGCGUAGGAAUCUGCCCAAUAGUGGGGGAUAGCCCGGGGAAACUCGGAUUAAUACCGCAUACGCCCUACGGGGGAAAGCAGGGGAUCUUCGGACCUUGUGCUAUUGGAUGAGCCUGCGUUGGAUUAGCUAGUUGGUAGGGUAAGGGCCUACCAAGGCGACGAUCCAUAGCUGGUCUGAGAGGAUGAUCAGCCACACUGGAACUGAGACACGGUCCAG
RNAcentral lists this ribosomal RNA (235 nucleotides) under uncultured bacterium. RNAcentral's name for it is "partial 16S ribosomal RNA". It matches the Rfam family "Bacterial small subunit ribosomal RNA", at positions 96 to 334 of the family's 1533-position model. The record is from RNAcentral.